RNAcentral lists this ribosomal RNA (773 nucleotides) under uncultured Streptococcus sp. RNAcentral describes it as "bacterial SSU rRNA". It matches the Rfam family "Bacterial small subunit ribosomal RNA", at positions 28 to 776 of the family's 1533-position model. Lineage: Bacteria; Bacillati; Bacillota; Bacilli; Lactobacillales; Streptococcaceae. The record is from RNAcentral.
GACGAACGCUGGCGGCGUGCCUAAUACAUGCAAGUAGAACGCACAGUAUAUACCGUAGCUUGCUACACCAUAGACUGUGAGUUGCGAACGGGUGAGUAACGCGUAGGUAACCUGCCUGGUAGCGGGGGAUAACUAUUGGAAACGAUAGCUAAUACCGCAUAAUAUUAAUUAUUGCAUGAUAAUUGAUUGAAAGAUGCAACUGCAUCACUGCCAGAUGGACCUGCGUUGUAUUAGCUAGUAGGUGAGGUAACGGCUCACCUAGGCGACGAUACAUAGCCGACCUGAGAGGGUGAUCGGCCACACUGGGACUGAGACACGGCCCAGACUCCUACGGGAGGCAGCAGUAGGGAAUCUUCGGCAAUGGACGAAAGUCUGACCGAGCAACGCCGCGUGAGCGAAGAAGGUUUUCGGAUCGUAAAGCUCUGUUGCAAGAGAAGAACGGGUGUGAGAGUGGAAAGUUCACACUGUGACGGUAUCUUACCAGAAAGGGACGGCUAACUACGUGCCAGCAGCCGCGGUAAUACGUAGGUCCCGAGCGUUGUCCGGAUUUAUUGGGCGUAAAGCGAGCGCAGGCGGUUAGAUAAGUCUGAAGUUAAAGGCUGUGGCUUAACCAUAGUACGCUUUGGAAACUGUUUAACUUGAGUGCAGAAGGGGAGAGUGGAAUUCCAUGUGUAGCGGUGAAAUGCGUAGAUAUAUGGAGGAACACCGGUGGCGAAAGCGGCUCUCUGGUCUGUAACUGACGCUGAGGCUCGAAAGCGUGGGGAGCGAACAGG